GAUGAAGAACGUAGCGAAAUGCGAUAAGUAGUGUGAAUUGCAGAAUUCAGUGAAUCAUCGAAUCUUUGAACGCACAUUGCGCCCUUUGGUAUUCCUUAGGGCAUGUCUGUUCGAGCGUCAUCUAAACCUUCAAGCCCUGCUUGGUGUUGGGUGCCUGUCCCGCCUCCGCGCGUGGACUCACCUCAAAUCCAUUGGCGGCCCCCGCGUCGGCCACGAGCGCAGCAGAAACGCGAACUCGUGAGCCCGUCCGGGCGGCUCCCAGAAGCUAACCCCCAAUUUUUGACCUCGGAUCAGGUAGGGAUACCCGCUGAACUUAAGCAUAUCAAUAAGCGGAGGA
Molecule: unclassified non-coding RNA, 337 nt
Filed under: soil metagenome
Description: partial contains 5.8S ribosomal RNA, internal transcribed spacer 2, and large subunit ribosomal RNA
Rfam family: 5.8S ribosomal RNA (bases 1-120)
Source: RNAcentral